UGUUUACGGAAAAGGAGAAGAUUGAACGAUUUUUUUUUGAACGCAAUCUAGUUUCUAACCCAGUCGAUGGUGCGGUUUCAGAGCAGACCGGACAUCUCACGACACUCACGAACUUUUUACGACGUGUUUGUCAAACCUUAAUCGUUUUUAAGGCUCUGUCGUCGCCUGGAUGCAGAAUGCUCGUGGUCCGUGUGUUAAUAGCCUUUGUUCUUCUUAAAAACACGCACGGGACCUCACGUGACAGACCAAACAUAGUCGUGCUCAUGUCUGACGCCUUUGAUGGAAGGUUAACUUUUUCUCCUGGCAAUAAAGUUGUGCGGCUGCCUUACAUCAACUAUAUCAGGGAAACGGGUGCGCUGUUUCUCAACUCGUACACUAAUUCACCAAUCUGCUGUCCUUCAAGGGCAGCUAUGUGGAGUGGCCGGUUUGUUCAUUUGACCCAGGCCUGGAACAAUUAUAAAUGUCUUGACUCCAAUGCCACCACAUGGAUGGAUCAUUUAGGAAAAAGUGGCUACCACACUCAUAGCAUGGGGAAACUAGACUACACCUCGGGACAUCACUCUGUCAGUAACCGUGUGGAGGCUUGGACCAGAGACGUUCCGUUCCUGCUGAGACAAGAGGGCCGUCCGGUCACAGAUCUGGUGGGGGAUACGUCCACAAAGAGAGUGAUGACUAAAGACUGGAACGUCACUGAUGCUGCCGUCCAGUGGAUCCGACACACCGCUGCGUCUCUCGCCCAGUCGUUUGCGCUAUACGUGGGGCUCAAUCUCCCACACCCCUACCCCACAGACUCCCUGGGACCCGCUGCCGGGGGCUCUACCUUCCGCACCUCCCCGUAUUGGCUAAACAAGGUUUCUUAUGAUCAAGUGUCUGUUCCGAAGUGGUUACGGCUUGAAGACAUGCACCCCGUGGAUUACUACUCCACUUUCACCAAAAAUUGCAGUGGCCACUUCACGGAAGAAGAGGUCAGAAACAUUAGAGCCUUUUACUAUGCCAUGUGCGCUGAAACAGACAGCAUGUUGGGUGAGGUGACAGCUGCUCUCAGAGACACCGGCCUUCUGAACGGCACAGUCGUAUUGUUCACGUCGGAUCAUGGGGAUCUAGCCAUGGAACACAGGCAGUUCUACAAGAUGUCCAUGUUUGAGGGCAGCUCUCACGUCCCGCUGCUUAUGAUGGGCCCAGGAGUGAAGGCUGGCUUUGAAAUCAGUCUGCCUGUGUCUCUGGUGGACAUUUAUCCCACUGUGCUUGAUCUUGCUGGUGUUCCACAGCCAGGCGGUCUCAGUGGUCACUCGCUGAUGUCUCUGGUUUCUGGGGUCAGUGCACAAUCAGCGGAGCCUCAUCCUGGCUGGGUGCUCAGUGAAUAUCACGGUUGCAAUGCAAACGCCUCCAUGUAUAUGCUCAGAAUCGGCGAGUGGAAGUACAUCACGUAUGCGGAUGGAUUGACUGUUCCCCCACAGCUCUUUAACUUGUCUGCAGAUGAAUCAGAAUUGAGAAAUGUUGCCUCGCACUUCCCUCAUGUAUGUCAGGACUUGGACAAGGUGUUACGUACCCUUGUGGACUAUCCCAGCGUCUCCGAAGCUGUUCACCGCUACAAUAAACAACAGUUUCUGGAAUGGAAGCAAAGCCUAGGAGACGGUUACUCCCAGACCAUAGCCAACCUGCGAUGGCACGUUGACUGGCAAAAGGAUGCCCAGACCUAUGAGAGAGUUAUUGAAGAGUGGCUGUUAGAGUUGGAUUGAUCACCCGUCUGUCAGUGAUUAUUCAUGUUCCUAUUUAAAAAAAGAAAACAAACAAUGUGAUCUGCAGAUGUCAAGGCUACCCAGACAAAGUACUUGAAACAUAGCUUCCCAAAGGCGAUCGAUCAAGUGUAGGUGACGGAACAUAGUUUAUGCAAUACUCCAUACCGCCGAGAGGGGGUGAUAUAAAAAGCUAAACUUUAAAACCCAAGAAGACUAUCGUGAAACCCGUGCGUACGAG
Molecule: RNA transcript, 1977 nt
Organism: Puntigrus tetrazona (Sumatra barb)
Lineage: Eukaryota; Metazoa; Chordata; Actinopteri; Cypriniformes; Cyprinidae
Gene: arsk
Gene name: arylsulfatase family, member K
Exons: 9
Source: RefSeq, a predicted model, not a curated record